This 89-nucleotide transfer RNA is filed under the name Sphaerosporella brunnea. It matches the Rfam family "tRNA". Rfam says of the family: Transfer RNA (tRNA) molecules are approximately 80 nucleotides in length. Their secondary structure includes four short double-helical elements and three loops (D, anti-codon, and T loops). The record is from Rfam by way of RNAcentral. Lineage: Eukaryota; Fungi; Ascomycota; Pezizomycetes; Pezizales; Pyronemataceae.
UCCCCCGUGGCGCAAUUGGCUAGCGCGUCUGACUGUUAUCCUUCAGCAAUGGCAUCAGGAGGUUGGUGGUUCAAGCCCACCCGGAGGAG